GGGGCCGUAGCCCAACGGGCAUGAGGCACACGGUUUAGAUCCGUGACAGUGCGGGUUCGAAUCCCGCCGGCCCCA
This 75-nucleotide transfer RNA is filed under the name Nocardiopsis mwathae. Its description in RNAcentral is "tRNA-Leu". It matches the Rfam family "tRNA". Rfam says of the family: Transfer RNA (tRNA) molecules are approximately 80 nucleotides in length. Their secondary structure includes four short double-helical elements and three loops (D, anti-codon, and T loops). The record is from RNAcentral. Lineage: Bacteria; Bacillati; Actinomycetota; Actinomycetes; Streptosporangiales; Nocardiopsidaceae.